GCCACCGUGGCACAACCUGGUACUGCGGUAGAUUGCUAAUCUACUGCCCGCAAGGGCUUCCCUGUUCAAAUCAGGGCGGUGGCG
RNAcentral lists this transfer RNA (84 nucleotides) under Candidatus Woesearchaeota archaeon. Its description in RNAcentral is "tRNA-Ser". It matches the Rfam family "tRNA". From Rfam's summary of the family: Transfer RNA (tRNA) molecules are approximately 80 nucleotides in length. Their secondary structure includes four short double-helical elements and three loops (D, anti-codon, and T loops). The record is from RNAcentral. Lineage: Archaea; Nanobdellati; Candidatus Woesearchaeota.